AAGUCGUAACAAGGUCUCCGUAGGUGAACCUGCGGAGGGAUCAUCUAUAAAAAAAAUAUGAUGAUGAUGAUGAUGAUGAUGUUUAUUCAUCAUCAUCAUCAUUAUUCAUAUAUUAUCCAUUAUAGGAUGUUUUGGUGUUGUUAUUAUAUAAUAUUCUUAUAAUGUUGCAGGAUGGAAUUGUGUGUAUGUGUAUGUGUAUGUGUGUGUGUGUCGGUGUUUGUGUGUGUGUUGUAUGUGUGUUUGUGUUUUAAGGAGUAUUGUUACUCUUUUUAACCUUCCCCACAUACACUCUACUCUUAUUACUACCCAUCACUACACCAAUAAAAAACCAACCAGGAUCAUAAAUUCCAAACAAAGUUUAUAACUUUUGGCAACGGAUCUCUUGGUUCUC
RNAcentral lists this unclassified non-coding RNA (391 nucleotides) under fungal sp. Its description in RNAcentral is "partial internal transcribed spacer region". The stretch from base 1 to 46 matches the Rfam family "Eukaryotic small subunit ribosomal RNA", at positions 1786 to 1831 of the family's 1831-position model. Lineage: Eukaryota; Fungi. The record is from RNAcentral.